UGGGCGCAUGAUCGCUCCGGCUCGGGCUGGAGAGGAAAGUCCGAACACCGCAGGGCACGGUGGUUCGUAACGCGAACGCUGGGUAACCAGGGGAAAGUGCCACAGAAAUGACACCGCCGAUGGAACCGCGGUUCACAGGCAAGGGUGAAAUGGCGAGGCAAGAGCUCACCGCCCGGCUGGCGACAGUCGGGGCAUGGUAAACCCCACCGGGUGCAAGACCAAAUAGGGAGGCGAUCGAGGGCGGCCCGUCCGAUGCCUCCGGGUAGGUUGCACGAGAUGCCGGGUGACCGGCAUUCCAGUUAAAUGAUCAUGGCCGGCCCCGCCGCAAGGCGCGGGCCGGGACAGAAUUCGGCUUACAGCCCACCCCU
Molecule: RNase P RNA, 368 nt
Filed under: Desulfobulbus oralis
Lineage: Bacteria; Pseudomonadati; Thermodesulfobacteriota; Desulfobulbia; Desulfobulbales; Desulfobulbaceae
Description: Bacterial RNase P class A
Rfam family: Bacterial RNase P class A
About the family: Ribonuclease P (RNase P) is a ubiquitous endoribonuclease, found in archaea, bacteria and eukarya as well as chloroplasts and mitochondria. Its best characterised activity is the generation of mature 5'-ends of tRNAs by cleaving the 5'-leader elements of precursor-tRNAs. Cellular RNase Ps are ribonucleoproteins.
Source: RNAcentral